Dromaius novaehollandiae (emu) is the source of this 4399-nucleotide long non-coding RNA. RefSeq lists it as uncharacterized. The transcript has 5 exons. The record is from RefSeq and is a predicted model, not a curated record. Lineage: Eukaryota; Metazoa; Chordata; Aves; Casuariiformes; Dromaiidae.
CAGGUUUAUUUAAAAAUGGCAGAGUGAGAAAGGAUGACACUAGACAUACCUUGAUGUUUGUUUGGCCUGUGGUGUGAGUGUAAGCCUCUCCUUGAAAAGCACUGUGAACUCAGCCUCUAAAUCUUCUGAGACUCCAGGAUCUGCCUGAGACGCCUGGGCUGAAGGCACUGUGAAAGGACCAGGGGAUCACCAAACACUUCCUAUUGCCAUGCUGAAGGCCUGGGUUCAAGUCCUGCCUUUCCACUUGGCUACAGCCUUCAGUUCUGGCUACCCAUCAGAAAAAAAAAACCAUGCAAACGUAGAAUGGCCCUGGAAACAGGUAAUAAAAUAAUUUGGAGAAUGGCACGAUCUCCACAUGAGAACAGAUGGAAAAGGUGAAGUCUGUAUAUUUAACUGAGGAGAUGAGUUACAGUGUAUAUGAUUUAGAAAAUACUAAUUAAUAAAGUGAAAGCACAUUUGAGUCCUUUGCAGGCUUUCUGAGUACAGUAACAUGGGAGUGCUGAAAGAAAAUGGAGGACAACAAAUGAAAAAAAAAGAUAAAAGGGGUAGUUUUAUCUGUUUCAUACAUUCAUGUUUUAUCCUAUGGAAAUCCUUGUAAUGAGAUGUUUCUGAGGUUAAGAUGUUUAUGGAAUUCAAGACCAGCAGUGACUUACAUGGUCAGUUGCUAUCCUCAGGGUAAUUAACUAUAUGACCACAAACGAUGCCAGGUGGCAAGUGGGGUUUGUAUCCCCUGCUUUCUUGAAAGCCUUGGGAAGUGUUACUAAACAGUGUGUUAGGUGAUACAAGGGCUGCUGUAAGAUUUUCUCUUCUCUUGUUAUUCACAGGAUGUCAAAGAUUUGAGUGGCUAGGACAGGUCCUGGUUCCAUCUUAGCUGUGACAAUGCACAGGAGGUUUGGGUUUUUUGUUUUUUGGGUUUUUUUCCCUACUUUGGGGAGUGCCUCAGUGACAGACAAGGAAAGGAAAGGAGGAACAGUUCGGCAGAUGCUGCCCAUGGCUGUACUUGCCUUUCCAAAGGGGCUGAGAGGCUGCAGUUCUCCAGGGGAAGAUUUGCACCUCUGACAUUUUAUCGCCUUGACAAUUCUCUGUGACUAUCCCAGCAGCAACCUGCCAUACGUAACCAGGGACGCUGGAACAGAAGGGUCAUUGAACUGAGACAAACUGGAGGUGUCCAAACUCCAUAUUUGUACUCUAGAGAAUUUUAGGUACUUUUUACUGACUUUUACUCCAUGCUACAAAGUUCACCGUGGUUCACGGAAAGCCUUCCUGCAUCAUAGGGUAUAGAGUCUUCUUCCAUACCCAUUUCUGGUCUACCAACAGAUGGAAGCAUGUUUCCAGUAUAUGGGGGGAGGAGGGUGUAGAGGAUGAGAAAAGGUACAUGUGUGGAUGCUGCUACCCCUUUUCUUCCAUUCUCAAUACAGGAAUAGAAUUUUUGAUUUUUUUUCUUUUUUUUUUGGCUGAAUUCCCUCAUAACCCUUAUAUGUAACAAUAUCUCCCCCAUCUCAAUUUACAAUGCAGAUUUUUCUGGCACAAACCAGAGGAGUUGGUGGUAGGAGAUGACACUUUGACCUGUUUAUAUCCUGAAGAGGGAUAUAUAGGCUGUAAGUGUUUAGUUUUUAUUCUGGAAAGGCAAGAAUUUUAGAUUUACCUGUAUAUGUUCUGGAAAUGCUUAUGUCGUCCUGUUCAUUCACCUCUGUUUGUAGCAGUGUAGCCAGAACACCAAAGAGUUCACUGUGAGUUACAAAAUUUGUCUAAAGAGCUGGGUAAGUCUCAGUGUUUAUCCCAUAUUCACUCUCACUGCUUGGGGUACAUGGGUUGGUUGUACCAGGUACUGUCAGACUUUUGUACCUGGGAGAUACAGAGAGCCUGUCUUAGGACAUAGGCUGUAACCCAUCUGGAGUGAGAGCUGCUCACCUUCGUUUAUAAAAUGCCUGUCAUAACAGUUCCUGGCCGUGGUCUAUGCCUAAUAACAUAAAUGUUUCAUGAGAGCUUCUAACUCUCCAUUUUUUUUGUCCCUUAUACAUCCUAGUAUUAUUUUAUGUUCUCAGAGUCCUGAGGAAAUGAUGGCACUGAUGCAAUGGCAGGAAUAACGAGGAUUGUUCUGUACAACUGAACACUGCAAACAAAAGGUCCCUGAGAAGUUUUUCAGAAGUCAUCCAAAAUUUAAGAGGCAUUAGAGCUGACACAAACAUCAGGUUUGCGAAGACAGCUGAAAACCCUUUGCACAAAGAACUCAGCACACACAACAAUGGAGUAUUAAGGAUAUUUAAUGUCUACUCUGUGAAGACAAGAUAAAUUUUGCAGAGGGGUACCAUGAAACAGUUGAGGAUACCAUAUGCAGUGCACAGCAAACAAAAGAGUGAACAUCACUUGACCAGCAAGUUAUUGGAUGCAAUGACAAGAUGUAGAAUACUUUUUUUCUUCGGAAACUCCAGGCAGUUGAAGUAAUGUAGACAAAUCAGCUGUACCCCAUAUCUGCUCUUGCUGAAUGCCAGUGUGAGUUUGUACUGCUUGUAAACUUUUGGAUGUGCUAGUCAAUCUAGCCACUGACUCCAUAAGGUUAAUUGAAUGUUUAUGAAACAAAGGAUCCUUCUGCAAAAAGGCUGAGGAAUUCAAGACUGCUGCUACAGUCUGAUAUUCAGAAGUGCACCGUGAAAUAAGCAAAGGGCUUUGAGCUGACAUUUAAAAAAAAAUCUACAAUAUGCAACAUAAAAGAUGUGCUAAAAGAUUCAUAAAACUACAAAGAAACCAUGCCAUAGAGACUAGCUGAAAAAAAAAGGAGAGAAGAAUUAAUCCACCAGCUAAGGCCUUAUUUAGUUUGCUUUAGCAAUGUCUAUAAAGCCUAUUGCUCUGUUGUUCUAAUGAUGUAUGCUAAGACACAGGAGAUAAGAAAAGCCAAGACACUGAAAGCUGUUGUAAAACUAGGCCACUGUUAAAUUAAACAUUUUCUGAAAAACAGAACCUACCUUGAACAAUGCGGAAAACCUCUUUGCUUUUUGCAUGCACUGAGCCAGAAAGGGGCACUUGCUCCCCUUCACCAUGUUCAUGGGGAAAAGCACCAGUUCAGUGAAGUUUUAGCACCCUUCCCUAAGCCGGCACCUCCAUUUAUUCUCAUAAUUAAUGACUACUGAAUAUUCACGAAGUAAGUAUGUACCAUUGGGUAACACUUAGCCGUUGGAUGAACAUUCCUCUUGGUCUGAAGGAAACUAAAAGGAAGGCAGUGGCCCUGCCUCAGGGCUUUAAAAUCACAACAGCCAUGCUGAAGUCUGCGUUUCAGUAUUUUCUUCAAGCAAGAGCAAGGCUUACACCAAAAACGGGGAUGCUACCAGCAGAGUUAGCAUGCCAUAUCUAUUCCUCCUGUUUUUCAGAAAAGCAUAAGAGAACAUGCUGCGCUGUGUCUCUCUUCACCUUGUGAAGAAGCUCUUGAAAAACCCUGGUGACUCCCGCAGCUGAGUCAAGGCUAAAACAGCUAGCACGGGCCCUGUACUCUAUGUACCUCUAGUGUCAGAUCCACUGUAGCCAGUGGCUGAAAGUUGUGCCCUUCAAAGUGGUAAUAAGAUGACCCUUUAGCCACACUGAGGAUAACAAAUCUUCAGAAGAGUGUACCCAAGUGUGGGGGAAGUUUUCUUCUGCUGCAGUCUUCAGUGAGAGAAAGGAUAACUUUAUGAAAUGUAUGUUUUGGUCAUUGGGACCCGUCUCUAUGAUAAAGCAAAACUGACUAAAUUCUUUUCAGCUUAAAUAUUAGUGUAAAGGGAAAUCGAGAUCCGUUGCUUUUGGUUUAAUAAUGUAUCAUUAUUAACAGGUGAAGUUCGAUAUCCAGUGUUGACCACAGUGGUCUCUUCUGGCUUUAAGAUCAUGCCAUUAAGUAUAAUGGAGAGGGGACUGCAAAGCUCCGGCCCCCGGGCCAGAAAAGUGCAUACCAGUCCCACGCUGUUCACUCUUUCUCAGGACUCACUGCAUUUCAGAUGGAAAGUCUUUUCCUGCAAAUAUUUCUGUAUGUGCUUAGUUCUGUAUCAACUAGAGAUUUCCCACUGAUUUAAAUGGCACUACUCCUAAAAUUUCUAACCGUAGUCAUCAAACUACUGGACUCUCCCACCGGGAAAGAGGUUAACCUGAGAAAUAAUCUCAGUGAUGAAGGAAAACUGACUAAAUUGCUUGCAGCAUAAAGUUUGAGGAAAAUGAAAAUAUAGUUUGGUUUCUUUUGGUUUUAAUAAUAUAUCAUUUAUUCUAGUAGUUAAUGCAUAAGAUUUUAAAAUGUUGCUAUGCAAUUUUUAUUUAUAGCAGUUACUUACUUUGAGGGGCCAAAGAAUAGCUGUUACACGAGAGAACCCACAAGACAAAGAUUCAUUCAAUUAUGGUAUAAAAUGUGCAAUAAAACAUGAAAUACUAUCCAAAACUGAAA